Molecule: long non-coding RNA, 4950 nt
Filed under: Equus asinus (donkey)
Lineage: Eukaryota; Metazoa; Chordata; Mammalia; Perissodactyla; Equidae
Description: lncRNA (ENSEASG00005034753.1)
Source: RNAcentral
CCCCCCCCCCCCCCCCCGCCCCGUUAAAUUUCUUACGAAGGUUGUUAUGGCCGUUUCUUUCCAGUGGACAUAAAUUUCAGCUUCUGAAUUUCUGCCUGUUUUUUCUCUCUCUCCUUUUUUUCUUAGGAUGUUAGCAAAUAAACCAAUUUAGCAAGGCAGAACAUGUUUUUAUCUCCUCUUUCUUGGUGCUCCUUUAAAAUAAGAACACCUAAGUAUGGAGAAGUGGGUGACUUCGUUUAUGAGGACGUGGAGGUUCCCUUGCCUGCAUCGCUGGUUUGAAGUCUAACCAGUUGUGCAGUAUCCCCACGGCUGUUUGAUAGUUGCUGUAUUUGUCCUGGACGUACAGGGUUGGUGUUGCAGUCUGUGCUCUACUUAACAGCCCUGAUUUUCCCUUUGGCCCUUCAAUGAGAGAUCCCAUUGGAUCAAGUGAAAGCGAAGUCCCUUUGAGAUGAGUCCCAUAUCCCUGACCUCUUCUCUGAGCUCCAAUUCUAUCCAGUUUUCUUCUGGAAAUCUUAACGUUGAAGUCCUGUGAGUACUCUCAGAUCUGUGUGUCCAAAACAGAAGUCCUCAACUUCAUUCCAACCCUGUCUCAUCCUGGCUUCUACAUUUUUGUGAAACAAGUCACCGAUCUGUUGCGCCAACAGCAUCUAUCUGUCCUCUCCUCUCCCAUUGCCGCUGCUUAAGUUUAUGUCCUCAGUGACUCAUGUCUUGCUUGCUCCAAUAACCCUUCAGUUUCCCUGUUUCUCUAGGCAAAUAAACGGCUACUUUAUAAGUUUACAUCUUUGCUCAUUUAUUCUCCAUGCUCAGCUGAAGGAAUUUUGCACAAGACAAAUCUUAUUAUAGCAUUACCUCUAAAAUGCUUCAGCAGCUUCCUAUUGCUUUCAGAAUUUAAUUCUGUUUCCCUAAUUUGCUAAAUACAAGCUAUCCAUGGGCCGGAGCUCUACAGUGAAGUUUGAAUGCCUUUAUUUACGUCGCCUUUACUAAGCUAUAUUAAAAUUCCAAGGAUGCGAGGUCUGUGGCCACAGUGCCUUUGCCGACUUGGCACUCAAUCCCCUUCUUUGACUGGCUGAAUCCUAUAGACCUUUACAGACUUCACAUAGUUGCCGUCUUUUCCAGAAAGCCUUCCUUGAUUUCACCUCCAGGUUGGGUGCAAAUCCUCAGUCCUCCUGUUGAAAUUGUUUGCAAAUUUUAGCCACAGCAUGACUUUCCUGGGGAAGGGAAGAAUCUGGUGCAUAUUAGAAACUAAAUCAACAUCUCUUAAAUGGAUGAAUAACCAAAUGCCAUUAUUGCAAAGUCUGCAGACUGGGCAAAUUAGGAAAGCAAUCUGAUGAAUAAGCAGAAGAAGUGCCAUGUUUAAUAAAUUGAAGCCAUCUGCAGACUUAUUACAGAGGGAAAAAGUGUUCCAUGAUUAUUUACACUGGUCACUGAGAAGUAGCACGAUGAUCAAUUUGGAAAGAUGAUCAAUAAUUUGAAAACUCUAUAUUCGUUAUUUCUGGUAACAGAAAUUCUGAUAUUAUAAUUUAUUAGUAUACUUAGACCAGAGGAGACAUUUCUCUGAAUAUAGUUUAUCAUCUAGUCCUGGUGGGCACACUCUCUUAGUGUUUUUCUAUUUUAUGAGUUUGAUUUUAAUCAAGUGAUGCUUAUUUUUCUUACACUAUGAUAGAAUCCCAAAUCAGAGAAAUAUUUUGAUUUCAAACUUGCUGGAAAUUUAGAGGGAGAGAGCAUUUAUUUAAUCAGAUUAUUUUUAUUAAGUGGAACUCUUGGUAAUCUAAAAUGCUUUGUAUUUAUUUUAGCAUUGUAUUUUCCAAAUGACCUCUGAAUAUAUCAGUGCCAAAGAGAAAACAAGAGAGCUCUUAAUUAAUUGAAGGAAAAUAGUCUGCUGAAUAUUGUUUUUAAGAGAGUAUCUUUUGCAAUUCCGAAAUCAGGAGGGAGCAUUUUAUUCAUGUUGUUGGUUGAGUCUUACGAAAAUAUUGGCUUUGACGGUCUUAACCGUGCCCUUCUCCCUGAGCUUGGAGCGUCAGCAGUGUUUAAGAGGUUUCUUCUUCCUAACUGGCAUCUUUUUGAUUUAGCACCUUUCUUUUAGCUUUGUGUUGAAAACAUGUUGGCUAAGUAUGUUAAUUAUUAGAUAUAUCCUUAUUCAAAUUUGAAUGGAGACAACAUGAAGAAGGAUUAUAGUUUAGUUAUUGCAGCUUCUGAGAAAGUAUUUCACCAUAGCAGUUUAGAAAUACAGAUGGAGAAUGUUUCCUUUUAGUUAGAGCCUUUUUGGACCUGUGAGGCCCUCUGAGAAUCUAAAGUCUGGCCUCAUUCUGUCCAUUUUUCAUUCUCUUUGAAAGAAUUUCAAAGUAACUGGUUAAAGCUCCUCUCCCAUCUGUCAUGAGUAACACGUAGAAGUUUCUUGUGCAGCUAUCGGAGAGAAGGGAGGAAAUGUAAAAGCACAGAUCAUUUGGGUAUUAAUACUGAUCCUGAAAGUAACUCUGCCGGAACCAGGCUCUUUUGAAACGUUCUGUUACAUGUUACUUUUUAUUUUCUCAGCUUGAAUUUAUAAACAUGGCAGACCAACAGGUUUCAUAUCAAGAUUGAUAACCAGGAAGAAUCCACUCUUUGAUUGAGUGGCAAAUACCUUUUAAAAACCUUCUGGAGAUUUUCACUUUUUACCAGACCAAGGCUGGGUUUACCAAACCAAGCUUUGUUGGAGAGGUGAAGGCAUGCAUUACCUGCAGGGUAGACCCCACUUCUAAAUAGGGUUUCUGGUCUAGAAUAUCUCAAGAGAAAUUCGUGUCCUUUUCCUCCUACAGAUGAAAGUACCCUUUUUUUGGGCAGAAGACAUACGAUGCCAGGAACACAAGUGCUAGUGAAUCAGUGCUUCCUACCCCCACCUCAUGUAAGGUGUAAGACCAUCAGGAAGGAAGUGUCACACACACACAGACACACGCACGCACGAGAUAGAUGGAGACUGCAGGCUCUCGGGCCACGCUGUGGAAUGAACGGGAUUUGUGCAAAGUCACACUGUAAAGAAAUGGAGCCAGUUCUUUGAUAUUUUUGAGUCUUUACAGGUGGCUUUGUGGUAUUUUUAGAAAGUUGUGAUUUCCCAGGGUACUUUAAGACCAGGCCCCACCCCAGUGUCCUUUUGGCCUAGGCAGUGUGUCCUGGGCCUUACCAAUAAAUGCAGCUAGUUAAUUCUCUCAGCGAAUCAAAGGUGGUAUAAUUACCACUGUUUGAUACUCAGAAAACUGAGUGAUUGAAGCACUUCUUCAGGGUCACACAGUUGAUCAUUGGCACAGGCAGGCUUCAAACUGAGGUCUAUCUGAAUCUAUACGGCAACAUCUGUGGUCAGCGAGGUAUGUGGGACACACUUCUCCCUCCCUUCUAUCUGAUGGAGCUGUCCUUUUGGUUCAGGGUAGCAAUGUGUCCACUUAAAAAUCUCCCCUUCUUGGCCUACACUGUAGCCAGGAGUGCUCACCCAGUUCUGGCCAGGGAGAUAUAGAUAGACAUCAUUGUGUAGGCUUUUUCUCCCUCAUUUCUUCCUUUCCAUCCUGGAACUGGGACAUGAUGCUUAGACUUGCAGCUGCCAUCUUGUGGUUAUGACAAUGAGAGCCACACACUGAGGAUGGCAGUACCGGAAGUAGAGGGCGCCCAGUUUCUUGAUGACUUACUUGAGUGGCUUCACCAGCCUUGAUCAACUUACCUAUGAAUUUCUUGUUAACUGAGAAAAAUAAGUGACAAUUUGAUUAAGUCUCUUUGAUGGGUGUUAUGGACUGAAUUGUGUCACUCCAAAAUUCAUAUGUUGAAGCGGUAACCCACAGUACCUCAGAAUGUGACUGUAUUUGGGGAUAAGAGAUAAAUAAAUUAAAAAUGAAACUGUUAGGAUGGGACCUGUUCCACUGUGACCAGUGUCCUUUUAAGAAGAGGAUAUUAGGAUACAGGAAAGAAACCAAGGAUGUGUGUGCACAGAGGAAAGGCUGUGUGAGCACACAGUGAGAAUGUGGCUGUCUUUAUGCCAAGGAAAGUUCCCAGAAAACAAUCCUGUUGGCACCUUGAUCUUGAACUUGCAGCCUCCAGAACAGUGAGGAAAUAAUUUCUGUUGUAAACCACCCAGGUCUGGGGUAUUUGUUAUGGCAGCCCUAGCAAACUAAUACAGUGGGGUUUCUUUACAUGCAGCUCAAAGCAGUCCUAUUGAUAGCAAAACUGAAACAAAUGAAAGUAUUAUAGACCACAAUAGUAUAAAUGAUUUAUUUGUUCUGCUGUUUCUUUUCUUUUCUUUUCUCUUUUUGAGGAAGAUUAGCCCUGAGCUAACUGCUGCCAAUCCUUCUCUUUUUGCUGAGGAAGACUGGCCCUGAGCUAACAUCCGUGCCUGUUUUCCUCUACUUUCUAUGUGGGACACCUACUACAGCAUGGCUUGCCAAGCGGUGCCAUGUCCGCACCCGGGAUCCUAACUGGCGAACCCUGGGGCGCCGAAGCAGAACUUGCGCACUUAACUGCUGCGCCAUCAGGCCGGCUACUGUUUCUUUUUUUAUGAAUGCUGUCUCCAUAGCCCUUGUGAUACUAUGUUUGUUUACCUGUUUAACUUCCAGUGUCCUGCCUCUAGACACACGCAUACACACACCUGCAUACCCCAACACACACACUGCGCUUCUUAGGCUGAGGUUGUCUGUUUCGUCUUCGUUCGCCUCGCACAAUAGGUGGCACAUAGCAGGCACUUUAUCCUUGUUUGUUGAAUAAAUUUGUUUAAAAGAAUGUAGUUGGCAAUAUUUAGGAAAACAGAAUGGUCAAAAUUAGAAUAGUGAUUUAAAAAAACAUGUGUACUCUUUCAUGAUUUCAAAAUUAUAAUUUUGAUAUUUGAACAUGUAAUCCUAAUUUGAAAAGGGGAUUUUGUUCCUGAGUUGGCUUAGUUUUCAGGGGAUUUGCUUUCACUGAACUUUCGUAAGUUAGUUUGUUUAUGGGUAGGGGUUA